Molecule: ribosomal RNA, 253 nt
Filed under: uncultured bacterium
Lineage: Bacteria
Description: partial 16S ribosomal RNA
Rfam family: Bacterial small subunit ribosomal RNA
Source: RNAcentral
UACGGAGGUGGCAGGCGUUACUCGGAUUGAUUGGGUGUAAAGGGUGCGUAGGCGGUGAGUUAAGUCGAACGUGAAAUCCCAUGGCUCAACCAUGGAACUGCGUUCGAUACUGACUUGCUUGAGUGACAGAGAGGUAGAUGGAAUUCCCGGUGUAACAGUGAAAUGUGUAGAUAUCGGGAGGAACACCAGUGGCGAAGGCGAUCUACUGGCUGUCCACUGACGCUGAAGCACGAGAGCAUGGGGAGCAAACAGG